CGGAAUCCCUGACUCAUGUUGUAAGAUUAAUUGCAAAGGAAUUUUCCCCUCCUUUUCUCCCCAAUGACGGAAGAGAAAAAGGAAGCGAAAGUGUCAUGUAUUUGUUUGACAAACACAAACAGCAAGCUGACAGUGACCUCUAUCCUGCAGUGUAAAACCAAUCCAGACAAUUUGAAAAAUGGAGCUGAAAACAGUAUCUAAUGCAUGAAGCUCUGUUCUUUGAUGUUCUCUAUAUGUAUUAUUGUGGUACUUGCCAAGACAAGUAUCGUUAUUAUUUCUGAUGAAUAAUUGUGAAACAUGUUGUUAACUGACAAAGUGGUUUAACUGGCAAAAUGUUUUCUGUACCUCCAUUUCUAUUGCCUUGAAAUGCAGUGUUUUAGAGAGUGUUGCAAUUCAGUCAUCAGAUGGAAAAACACAUGUUUAUGAGUUUUUGAUUGGCCCCGAAAUGUAAACAAACGUGUGUUGCUGGGCAGCUUCAUCGCUGUGCAAAUGAGCCUUGACGAAAUUGGAUAUUGCAAAAUGGCACUGAACUAACAAGGUCCGACUUGCACUGGAAUGCUUCAUCUAAUGUGCAUUUGUUAUAGAAAUCCCAUUAUAAUUAUGUUUCAUUUUUGGAACUACCUCCGGAUGUAGCAAAGACUUCCGACAUCCUGUGCAAGUACCUCUCUGAAUCUGCACGUCACAAGAGCAGUUUUAAUUUAAGCAAUAUUGCAGGAGUUACGUUUGUACAACAGUUCUGUAAACAACCAAAUAAUAUCAACCAUAUGCUAUUUUGUAUGCUACUUUUGCUAUUUAGCACAAAAACAAAAGUUCAGUUACAAUGUGGUAAGCCAUAUAAAUGGAAUUUUACCUAUUGAACUAUACAGUUAUUUAUACAGAGACAAGGAACCUCAAUGAUUCAGAUGUGCAGAUUUGUUUAAUUAUUUGGAAAAUGGAUUAGGAUUGGGAUUGUAGUUAUAAAUAGACUUUUCUUUUUGUUUUAUGAUGUUAAGGUGAGGUCAUGCGGUCUAUCACUGGAUUUGUAACUGUUGGUGUCACAUGUGAAAUUCCAGUGAUUGCUGGUGUGUCUUUGUGAUGUUUUGGUCUUUAGCUUGCUAUUUUAAGAGGUUGGGAUAUGCACUCUUAACAAUCCUUCAGCAAACACAAAUCAAAGAGUUACGACUAGUUGAGUCACUCAGGCUUAUGCAGACCCCAUAAGUCCACAGUAUGAGAUUGUCUAGAAGUUUUAAGCCUUAGUCACUAGCUGAAUUGUCUGCGGUGUCCUGUGAAGACAUAAGCACUAUGAACUUUCAUACUUUAAAUUGUUUUAUGUGCUUGAGUUAAAUUCUAUUUGUAACUGAGACACCUUUCUAUAAAAGAAUUCUAACUUCAACACGUGGAGAUCCUCCACCUGCCAAAUCAUGAUGAAUUCAUUGCUAGUUCUGAUUUUAGAUUUUUUGAUUUUUAACAGACAUCAACCUUUUUUUUAUGUUUUCUUUUGUUUUUACUGACUCACUUUAUAGGAUCUAACCCAAUCAAAUGCCAAAGCCCUACAUUUUUUUCUCCUUGAAUAUUUAGUUUCAUUUAGAAAUUGAUAAUACUGACAUAAAGUGUUCAUUACACUUUUAGUGGCUAGAAAUAGAGGUAACUUAAAAAUUCAUAACAUGAUUUACGUUUCAUAAUGUUUCAAAGCAUUCCUUUUUGGCAUGGCAUGUCAUAUUUAGGAGACUUAAAAUAUACAGUAGCCCAAGAGAUGGAUGAAAUACUUUUUUUUUUUUAAAUAACUAUAAAAGUAAUCACACAUUUUUUUUUCUAAAAUUUUUCGCAGUUAAUCUCACCGAACAUUAAUGGUUUUAUAUAUACUAUUAUAUAGCGAUCAUUUAACAUUCAAUCUUCAAAUUAAUGUAGAAACAAAAUAAAGACAGAAUUUUUUUUUUACAUGAAACAUCUUUUUUAUGACUGAAGGUGAGUAUGACUGAUAUCCAUACUGCUGAUGUCUCUAGGAAAAUGUUAUUUUUUCCCCUAUAUUUAGCCUAACCAUAACCUAAUUAUAGCAAUUCAACAUUACAGUAUAAUUGAGAGCCAUCAAUUUUAACAUUUAUUAGACUUUAAAAACAACAACAAUUUAUAAUUUAUAUCACAUAAACCCUUUAUAAUAAAUGUCAUAUUUACCUGUGCCCUUCAGCAAGUAGGAAAUAUACAGAAAUUGAAUAAAUUUGUCAAAAACUAAAUUAAAAAAUAGACGAAUCCUUAAGGAUACAAAAGUUAUUGAUUUCCUCUUUCUUCUUUUGUUCUUUGAUUAACAGACAUCACAGCAGCUGGGUUAUUAGGUUAUUUGGCUGCUGUUACUUUAAGAGCUGCUGCUGCUGAAAGUGACACGGAUCUGAUACGCAUGCUCGUAUAGUUUCACCCGCGCUUUAAUAUGAAAUGAUACAGACUACAGAGUGCUUGCAGCUGAAGAGCACACACUACAAGCACAGUAUAAC
Molecule: long non-coding RNA, 2465 nt
Organism: Cyprinus carpio carpio
Lineage: Eukaryota; Metazoa; Chordata; Actinopteri; Cypriniformes; Cyprinidae
Source: Ensembl